This 930-nucleotide ribosomal RNA is filed under the name Cecidophyes truncatis. Its description in RNAcentral is "eukaryotic LSU rRNA". It matches the Rfam family "Eukaryotic large subunit ribosomal RNA", at positions 366 to 944 of the family's 3401-position model. Lineage: Eukaryota; Metazoa; Arthropoda; Arachnida; Trombidiformes; Eriophyidae. The record is from RNAcentral.
AAAUAGAACUUUGCAGAGAGAGUUAACAGGGCGUGAAACCGUUAAUUGGCAAACGAAUCGGAGCCACGAAGUCGUUUCGCUGUUAGUCUGGUUGGGUUCAGCUUGGCAAUCACAAAAUUCUCAGGCGUAUUCCCAAUUGGGCCAUACAUUGUAAGCGUACACUGCAACCAGUUAGACAAUUGGUGAUGGAAUUAGUCUGUGGUUGUUUCGGCAGCCUCAGGCGACAAUUUUGUUUGCUCGUAUUAGUAGUAGCGUGGUGCUUUUCGGAGCAUUCGUGUUGCUGGAUACGCGGCAAGUGAGCUAUUACCAAAGACUGACUGGCACAAUGAAAAUCACUCUCAUGAGUGUUGACAUAAAAUGCUGCUUGUUGCAUGCAAGUCUACUUGCUUGACCAUUGGGUUUAAGCUCAACAUUUUUGAAUUUGGACUUGCUAGCCAUCAGUGGGGCAACUCCUGAUGCUAGUACAGCCUCCAUCUAAUCGGGUGUUGACUUGGCCUGGUGUUGCUCAAGUAAGAAUCGUUUGGGCUAACAUGUAAGCAAGUUAGCCAUUAUUGGCAGUGAGUAGGUCGGCUUUCCGAACGACCCGUCUUGAAACACGGACCAAGGAGUCUAAUUAGGCAUCGAGUCGAUCGGUCUUGAUAGGCCAGACUGAAUUGGUGCAAAUCAAUUCGAUUGAAGGCGUAGAGAAAUCAAAUCAUGUGAUCACUCCAGGCUACCAUGCUUGGGUGCGCAACAUGUGCCUGUUCGGAUAACAAUGUAGCAAUACUUGUUGAGCGGAGCAAAGAGAUACCUGAUUGGUACCCGAAAGAUGGUGAACUAUGCCUGGGCAAAUUGAAGCCAGAGGAAACUCUGGUGGAGGAUUGUAGCGAUUCUGACGUGCAAAUCGAUCGUCAGACCUGGGUAUAGGGGCGAAAGACUAAUCGAACCAUC